This 82-nucleotide transfer RNA is filed under the name Ipomoea nil (Japanese morning glory). It matches the Rfam family "tRNA". From Rfam's summary of the family: Transfer RNA (tRNA) molecules are approximately 80 nucleotides in length. Their secondary structure includes four short double-helical elements and three loops (D, anti-codon, and T loops). Lineage: Eukaryota; Viridiplantae; Streptophyta; Magnoliopsida; Solanales; Convolvulaceae. The record is from Rfam by way of RNAcentral.
GUCAAUAUGUCCGAGUGGUUAAGGAGAUAGACUCGAAAUCUAUUGUGCUUUGCCUGCGCAGGUUCGAAUCCUGCUGUUGACG